Cloeon dipterum is the source of this 517-nucleotide long non-coding RNA. RefSeq lists it as uncharacterized. The transcript has 3 exons. NCBI's taxonomy places the organism in Eukaryota, Metazoa, Arthropoda, Insecta, Ephemeroptera, Baetidae. The record is from RefSeq and is a predicted model, not a curated record.
CCUCGCCAGAAUAGUCGAAGCCGUGAUUCAAACUUUGAAACUUUUGAAAAACACGCGCACUAUCGCACUAGCUGCAGCGAGCCAAUGAGCGCGGUCCGGUCACUUCACUUGCGUGCUGCUGCUGCGCUGUAGACGUAGAGUUAGUCAUUAUCACUAGUCAGCCGAGCCGACCGGAGCAUGCGGAGACGCCGGCAAACCGCGCGAGUGCUAAAGAAAAGCCGUUGGAUGUCGGCUCGUCAAAUUUUGCCCAUUUUCGGCCGAAUUUUCGCCCUCGAGUCGACCAGCAAGAAGCCAAGGAUGCAGAACAAGCUGUUUUAUCCGCAAAUAACCCCAGACCCGUGCCCGCGGCUUGCGCGACAACAAUGCAACUCGUGUUAUAUGCUGCUUAGCGGAUGAUGCUAACGCCCUGAAUCUUGCGACCCCUGGCCCUGGCAUUGUGAUAAUUAUGUAUUUUCUGGGGUCCGAAGGAGGUGACAUGCAAGGAGUCCAACCCGCCAAACCCUCGCUCCCUAACCUG